This 235-nucleotide ribosomal RNA is filed under the name uncultured bacterium. RNAcentral describes it as "partial 16S ribosomal RNA". It matches the Rfam family "Bacterial small subunit ribosomal RNA", at positions 122 to 353 of the family's 1533-position model. The record is from RNAcentral.
UAACCUGCCUUAUAGUGGGGGAUAGCCUUUCGAAAGGAAGAUUAAUACCGCNUAAGAUUGUAGUAUCGCAUGAUAUAGCAAUUAAAGGAGCAAUUCGCUAUAAGAUGGACCCGCGUCGCAUUAGCUAGUUGGUGAGGUAAUGGCUCACCAAGGCGACGAUGCGUAGCCGACCUGAGAGGGUGAUCGGCCACAUUGGGACUGAGACACGGCCCAGACUCCUACGGGAGGCAGCAUG